GACGAACGCUGGCGGCGUGCUUAACACAUGCAAGUCGAACGAUGAAGCCGGAGCUUGCUCUGGUGAAUUAGUGGCGAACGGGUGAGUAACACGUGAGUAACCUGCCCUUGACUCUGGGAUAACUGCUAGAAAUGGUAGCUAAUACCGGAUACGACCCUCGGAGGCAUCUCCAGGGGGUGGAAAGAAUUUCGGUCAAGGAUGGACUAGCGGCCUAUCAGCUAGUUGGUGAGGUAACGGCUCACCAAGGCGACGACGGGUAGCCGGCCUGAGAGGGUGACCGGCCACACUGGGACUGAGACACGGCCCAGACUCCUACGGGAGGCAGCAGUGGGGAAUCUUGCGCUAAUGCGGGAAACCGUGACGCAGCGACGCCGCGUGAGGGAAGAAGGCCUUCGGGUUGUAAACCUCUUUCAGGAGGGGCGAAGCUACUCGGGUGAAUAGCCCAGAGGGUGACGGUACCUCCAGAAGAAGCCCCGGCUA
RNAcentral lists this ribosomal RNA (480 nucleotides) under uncultured bacterium. RNAcentral describes it as "partial 16S ribosomal RNA". It matches the Rfam family "Bacterial small subunit ribosomal RNA", at positions 28 to 499 of the family's 1533-position model. The record is from RNAcentral.